UUNCAAAGCCAAACAUUCAGAGGCCGAGAU
This 30-nucleotide non-coding RNA is filed under the name Mus musculus (house mouse). Lineage: Eukaryota; Metazoa; Chordata; Mammalia; Rodentia; Muridae. The record is from RNAcentral.